Molecule: ribosomal RNA, 462 nt
Filed under: uncultured bacterium
Lineage: Bacteria
Description: bacterial SSU rRNA
Rfam family: Bacterial small subunit ribosomal RNA
Source: RNAcentral
AACGAACGCUGGCGGCAGGCUUAACACAUGCAAGUCGAACGGUUGUAGCAAUACAGCAGUGGCAGACGGGUGAGUAACACGUGGGAACCUUCCUAGGGGUACGGAACAACUCAGGGAAACUUGAGCUAAUACCGUAUACGUCCGUGAGGAGAAAGAUUUAUCGCCCUUAGACGGGCCCGCGUCGGAUUAGCUAGUUGGUGGGGUAACGGCCUACCAAGGCGACGAUCCGUAGCUGAUCUUAGAGGAUGAUCAGCCACACUGGGACUGAGACACGGCCCAGACUCCUACGGGAGGCAGCAGUGGGGAAUCUUGGACAAUGGGCGCAAGCCUGAUCCAGCCAUGCCGCGUGAGUGAAGAAGGUCUUCGGAUUGUAAAGCUCUUUUACCAGGGACGAUAAUGACGGUACCUGGAGAAUAAGCCCCGGCAAACUUCGUGCCAGCAGCCGCGGUAAGGCGUAUGUGU